AACGAACGCUGGCGGCAUGCCUAACACAUGCAAGUCGAACGAGACCGUCGGGUCUAGGGGCGCACGGGGGCGUAACGGGUGGGAACCUGCCCGUAGGUUCGGAAUAACUCCGCGAAAGGGGUGCUAAUACCGGAGAAUUUCUUGGGACCAAAGAUUUAUCGCCUUUGGAUGGGCCCGCGUUGGAUUAGCUAGUGGGUAGGGUAAAAGCCUGCCAAGGCGACGAUCCAUAGCUGGUCUGAGAGGAUGAUCAGCCACACUGGGACUGAGACACGGCCCCGACUCGUACCAGAGGCAGCGGUUGUGGAUAUAGGACCAUGAGCGAGAGCCUGAUCCAGCACUGCCGCGUGAGUGAUGAAGGCCUUAGAAUUGUAAAGCUCUUUUACCCGGGAUGAUAAUGACGGUACCGGGAGAAUAAGCACCGGCUAACUCCGUG
RNAcentral lists this ribosomal RNA (433 nucleotides) under uncultured bacterium. RNAcentral's name for it is "partial 16S ribosomal RNA". It matches the Rfam family "Bacterial small subunit ribosomal RNA", at positions 29 to 507 of the family's 1533-position model. The record is from RNAcentral.